GCUGUCCCCAACCCCACAGUGUCUCCUUGGUGUCCCCAACCCCAUGGUGUCCCCUCGGUGUCCCCAACCUCUAUGCUGUCCCCAACCCCACGGUGUCCCCAGACCGCACUCUGCCCCCUCGGUGCCCUCAACCCCCCGCCUUCCCCAACCUCAACGGUGUCCCCAACCCCCACAACGUCCCCAACCCCGCUGUGUCCAAUGUCACCGUUGUCCCCAAAUGCUCACGGCCAGCGCCCCGCUGUCAUCCAUGCGCCGGAUGUCCUCGCAACCCCACAGGGCCCCACGGGGGACAUAGAGGGUGUGACCCCCCCUCAGCGCCGCCCCUCGCAGCCUCUGCUCCGUCUCGGGGUCGGCCAGCGCCGUGGGGGACCCCAGCUGGGGACGUGGGGACAACCAUGUCCCCAACAUCCGGGUCUGAUGGCCCCAAUGGCCCCCAAUAUCUCAAAGACAGCGGCCCCAGAUUCGUCGGGACAACCAUGUCCCCAAAGUCACCAACAUCCCAACCCCAAUCUCCCCAAAGUCUCCAAAGUCCCCAGCAUCCCCACCCCAAUGUCCCCAAUGUCCCCAAUGUCCCCAGUGUCCCCAACUCCCCGUUGUCCCCAAUGUCCCCAAUGUCCCCAACCCAUCUCCAAUGUCCCCAACAGCCCGUCGUCCCCAAUGUCCCCAAUGUCCCCAACACCCCAUUGUCCCCAGUGUCCCCAAUGUCCCCAAACCUCCCCUGUGUCCCCAACACCCCAUUGUCCCCAAUGUCCCCAACCCAUCUCCAGUGUCCCCAACCCUCCCCAAUGUCCCCAUUGUCCCCGAUGUCCCCACGUCCCCCCUCCCCCGUGUCCCCAUGUCCCUGUCCACCCCAACCCCUGGCUGACAACGCGGUGACACGAUGGUGA
This 887-nucleotide long non-coding RNA is filed under the name Phasianus colchicus (ring-necked pheasant). Its description in RNAcentral is "lncRNA (ENSPCLG00000013867.1)". Lineage: Eukaryota; Metazoa; Chordata; Aves; Galliformes; Phasianidae. The record is from RNAcentral.